GGUCGUGGCCAAGUCAGGGAUGGCGACUGACUCCAGAUCAGUCGAUCGGGGGUUCAAAUCCCUCCGACC
Molecule: transfer RNA, 69 nt
Filed under: Halobacteriales archaeon SW_12_67_38
Lineage: Archaea; Methanobacteriati; Methanobacteriota; Halobacteria; Halobacteriales
Description: tRNA-Trp
Rfam family: tRNA
About the family: Transfer RNA (tRNA) molecules are approximately 80 nucleotides in length. Their secondary structure includes four short double-helical elements and three loops (D, anti-codon, and T loops). Further hydrogen bonds mediate the characteristic L-shaped molecular structure. tRNAs have two regions of fundamental functional importance: the anti-codon, which is responsible for specific mRNA codon recognition, and the 3' end, to which the tRNAs corresponding amino acid is attached (by aminoacyl-tRNA synthetases). tRNAs cope with the degeneracy of the genetic code in two manners: having more than one tRNA (with a specific anti-codon) for a particular amino acid; and 'wobble' base-pairing, i.e. permitting non-standard base-pairing at the 3rd anti-codon position.
Source: RNAcentral